Long non-coding RNA from Erigeron canadensis, 3422 nucleotides. RefSeq lists it as uncharacterized. Lineage: Eukaryota; Viridiplantae; Streptophyta; Magnoliopsida; Asterales; Asteraceae. The transcript is spliced from 2 exons. The record is from RefSeq and is a predicted model, not a curated record.
AUUAUUAUCUAGAUUUUCUCUCAUAUUUUCUAGAAGAUUUAAAUCGUCAAAUGAUGAGAAACAAAACUCGAGUAUGAACUCUAAGCACACCUUAAAACCAAUGAAACUAAGUAUACUCACUAUUCAUCUUUUCUGGUUCUCAAAGUGCUCUCGAUAGCAAAUCUCUAGAUUCUUGCUUAAUUUUCAAGAAACAAGAUAAACUACUCUACUUCUGCAUGUUGACGAGUUUGCAAAACAAAAGGAUUUCAGUGCCCGAAGGCUAUGUUUCAAGGUCAAAUCAUAAACAUGUCAAAGGGUCAAACAAAGAAUUGUUACAAACUUUCACAAAGAGACAGGUAAUGGACUUGUAACAUCUCAAAAUUUGUAAAACCACAGAAAGCAUCUCAAAUACCAUAUACCAUUUUCUUUUAUAAAGAGUUAAAGACUGUAUCUUUAACCUUAUAUCAGCAUAGUAAAUCAAACCAUCGAAAUGGGCUGCUAAACUAUUGGGAUGCUAUGCCAUUUAGAAUAAAUGACCUGAUUUCAGAAGUUAGGUUCUCCCAAUGAUGCUUGAUACAACACCAAAUCAAAUAAUCAGAACAAACAUACUAAAUUCAAAUUUCAUAAUUGAAUAUACUAAUCCAUAUUUCAUUAUCAUAUAUAGCCAUAUAGGGCUAUCUAGAUAUGGAUACAGUAUUCUAAUUUUAACCACGAGGAUAUUAUCAUUGCUUAUUUCGAUUACGAAAAUUUUUAUUGAUGUCUUUGACUUAUCAAUCAUAAAUGAUGUGACUCUAACAUCCACCUAUGCCAUAAUAUAAAACUAGUAGAUUACAUAAAGUCAUACAGUUACCAUAAAUUUAAAGACUUAAAUAGUACUAAUAUGUAGAAGAAAAACAAGAGGGUACCUGAGAAUACAAGAAAGUUCCAAAGAUAGCGAUGGCAGCUCCAAGAGCAUUAAUUGGUUGAACGGGUGUACGAAAUAUGAUAAUAGAGGAAACAAUAACAGAUAUACGUUUCAUCGUGUUUCCGAUACUAAACGUCAACGGAGAGAUUUCAUCAAGUGACAUAUAUGAAACUUGAUUGUACAAAUGAUAGAAGAUACUUUGGGCUGCCACCCACCUAUAAGGCACAAAAAGAGCAACACAAAUAUGUCUUUUAGUCAUUUAAAUUGCAAUAAGAACAAAUAUAAAGAAUAUGUCAGAAAAUGGAGCUUCCAAACUACUCAAAAUAUUAAUAAAGACUUUUAUGACAUCAGCAUGAAGCUAAUCAAUGUUCUACUUAGUAUCGGAGCCAAUAGAAGGGACGGCAGUUGUAAUCGUCCCCCUACCACUAACUUUCGUAUUAAAAACAAAUUUUGAAGAUUUAGUACAAAAUCAUUCUUUAAGGUGGUGUUUAUAUGUGCAUUUUAAAAGGUACAGCGAUAUUAAAUAACCAGAAUAAAAAUAUGGCAUUUGAAGUUGUCAGAAUGAAAUAAUCAGUUGUUUGAGUGUUUACCAAAUUCUAAUUAUCUUACGUAACUAAUCUAUAAACUGACUAAGAAUACAUUUUCGAAAAAGUCAGAGAUUAUUUUAUCUGGCAACUCGUUUGCCAAUAAAGAUGCAAAUUAUGGUAAAUCGCCGUCACAGAAUCCUAGGUGGCUCCCAUAAUACCACAAAGCUUAAAAAUGAAUAUUAUAAUGUAAAGGCUACAAAUGCUCUAAUUUAAACAAUCCACAUAGCAAUGUGACAAAGGGGAAGGUUGGUUAUCAUAUGGUUACCAAAUGAAAUGGGGUCCAAUUUCAGAGACAGCAUUUUGCCAUCCAGCAGCCCACAUCUUUGGUCCCUCAACGGCAAUUGCAAAUGGCGUAAGGAUCAAAAGUGAUAACAAUGAUAAACAAGCAUAGUAGUUCAUUCCGCUAACAGACUUCCCCUUCAUGCCUCUUUUGGAAAAAAUGUUCCUGAACACAAACGCCAAGUUUGAUAUCAUAGCCCCCAUAAAACCUAAACUUCAACAAUAAACAACAAUUAGAACCCGUUAAGAAAGCCUAAUCACUUUCAAAGAUUCAAGUUAUGUAAUUACCAAUCAUGUUGAAAUUGAGCUCGGUAAGGGCAGCGAGACCACAACCACCAAUGAUCGGCAGAAGAGACAAGUAAACUGAUGCCGGGAAUGUUUCUCCCAAGAUGAACCUUGAAACCAAGACACUAAAAGCUGGCUCGCCACUCUUGAUGAUGUGUGUGAAAGAAACGGCAACUUUAGACAUGCUUACAGUUGCUGCUACAUGACCAAUUGUAUGUGCCAAAGCAACCUGUAAAAUAUCAUCAUAUAAUUUAUAUAACCUAUAAAUAAACCAUACCCUGAUCACAGAAACGCAAAAAAAAAAUGCACAUCGAAAUGAACAUAAAGAACCCGAGAUCACAUGGAGACAGAUAAGAGACAAUUCAGAUCAAAUUCCAGAUUAUAAAUCCCUAAAGUAUAACAAAUGAGCAAUUCCCAGAUUAAUUUAUGAGAAUUUAAAAAAACCCGGACAUAAACCCUAAAAAGACCAAAGCUUGCAGAACCUGGAGACAAAUUAAUAAUAAUUCAGAAUAAAACACAGAUCAUACUUUUUAAAAGAAACAUAAAUUAACAAUACUCAUUUAAUUAGUAAAAAAACAAAACAAAACCCAAAUAAUUUAAGCAACUAAGAAAAACCCAAAAUAAGAUCAAAACAUGAAAUACCUGGAAUGAAUAUCUUAACAAAUCCCCAAACAUAAUAUCAAAAAAAGAUCAAAACUUGCUACAAAGAAACAAAAUUUGAGAAAAUGCCCAGAUUAAUUAUAAAUUAUUAAGCAAAACACAAAUCAGUUUAUGAACAAUCAAACAAAACUAGAUCAUAAAACCUGUAAAGAUAAACACUUGCUUACAUGGAACCAAUUUUCUUAAAAACAAGUAUACCAAUAGUUAAAAAAAUGCAAAUUAUAAACAAUUAAACAAAAUCCAAAAUGAUACAACCUAGAAAGAUCAAAACUUGCAACAUAGAAAUCAAUUAAAAAAAUCUCCCAUAUAUAGUUAUGAAGAAUUAAACAAUACCCAGAUUAGAUUAUGAAAAAAUAAACAAAACCCAGAUCAUAGACCCAACUUGCUUAAAUAGAUUUUUUUUUUUUUUAAUAAAAAAUAAUACACAGAUUAAUUUAUGAACAAUUAAACAAACCCAGCUCAUAAAACAUGUAAAAAUAUAUAUAUACACAAAAAAGAUGAAAACUUUGCUUACAGGAAAUAAAGAUUUCCAGAAAUCAAGAUCAGUAUUAGGUGCUUCAGCAAGCUUAGUCCCCCAUGAAAGCAACAUAAUUGUUGAUCCAGCAGCAAGUGACAACAAUGAAGUCAACCAUGGAUAUGGAAAUGCAUUCAAUACUUUUUUAUUAUAUAUAUUAAAUAUAACAUUUAGAAACCACCAUGUUGCAAAAUAAACACCAAUUUUAGCCUUU